This 325-nucleotide ribosomal RNA is filed under the name uncultured eukaryote. RNAcentral describes it as "partial 18S ribosomal RNA". It matches the Rfam family "Eukaryotic small subunit ribosomal RNA", at positions 1470 to 1796 of the family's 1831-position model. The record is from RNAcentral.
CCCUUAGAUGUCCUGGGCCGCACGCGCGCUACACUAAUGCAUUCAACGAGUAUUUCCUUGGCCGAGAGGCCUGGGCAAUCUUUUAAACCUGCAUCGUGAUAGGGAUAGAUUAUUGCAAUUAUUAAUCUUGAACGAGGAAUUCCUAGUAAACGCAAAUCAUCAAUUUGCAUUGAUUACGUCCCUGCCCUUUGUACACACCGCCCGUCGCACCUACCGAUUGAAUGGUCCGGUGAAAUCUCGGGAUUGUGGCCAGUUCACUUUAUUGGGAGUUGGCUGCGAGAACUUGCUUAAACCUUAUCAUUUAGAGGAAGGUGAAGUCGUAACA